AGUGAACGCUGGCGGCGUGCUUAACACAUGCAAGUCGAACGAGAACGGAUUAUAGCUUGCUAUAAUUGUCAGCUAAGUGGCGCACGGGUGAGUAAUGUAUAGGUAAUAUGCCUCUUACUAAGGGAUAACAAAUGGAAACGUUUGCUAAUACCUUAUACUCCUUAUUAACAUAAGUUAAUAAGGGAAAGAUUUAUUGGUAAGAGAUUAGCCUGUAUUGUAUCAGUUAGUUGGUGGGGUAAUGGCUUACCAAGACUAUGACACAUAACUGGUUUGAGAGGAUGAUCAGUCACACUGGAACUGAGACACGGUCCAGACUCCUACGGGAGGCAGCAGUGGGGAAUAUUGCACAAUGGACGAAAGUCUGAUGCAGCAACGCCGCGUGGAGGAUGACACACUUCGGUGUGUAAACUCCUUUUAUAUGAGAAGAUAAUGACGGUAUUAUAUGAAUAAGCACCGGCUAACUCCGUGCCAGCCGCCGCCGUAA
RNAcentral lists this ribosomal RNA (484 nucleotides) under uncultured bacterium. RNAcentral's name for it is "partial 16S ribosomal RNA". It matches the Rfam family "Bacterial small subunit ribosomal RNA", at positions 29 to 523 of the family's 1533-position model. The record is from RNAcentral.